This 450-nucleotide ribosomal RNA is filed under the name uncultured bacterium. RNAcentral describes it as "bacterial SSU rRNA". It matches the Rfam family "Bacterial small subunit ribosomal RNA", at positions 354 to 796 of the family's 1533-position model. The record is from RNAcentral.
GUGGGGAAUAUUGGACAAUGGGCGAAAGCCUGAUCCAGCCAUGCCGCGUGUGUGAAGAAGGUCUUCGGAUUGUAAAGCACUUUAAGUUGGGAGGAAGGGCAGUAAGUUAAUACCUUGCUGUUUUGACGUUACCGACAGAAUAAGCACCGGCUAACUUCGUGCCAGCAGCCGCGGUAAUACGAAGGGUGCAAGCGUUAAUCGGAAUUACUGGGCGUAAAGCGCGCGUAGGUGGUUUUGUAAGUUGGAGGUGAAAUCCCCGGGCUCAACCUGGGAACUGCCUCCAAAACUGCAUGACUAGAGUACGGUAGAGGGUAGUGGAAUUUCCUGUGUAGCGGUGAAAUGCGUAGAUAUAGGAAGGAACACCAGUGGCGAAGGAGACUACCUGGACUGAUACUGACACUGAGGUGCGAAAGCGUGGGGAGCAAACAGGAUUAGAAACCCUAGUAGUCC